GCCUCUAUAGCUCAAUUGGUAGAGCAUCUGACUCUUAAUCAGCAGGUUCUUGGUUCGACUCCAAGUGGAGGCA
This 73-nucleotide transfer RNA is filed under the name Cupriavidus sp. RNAcentral describes it as "tRNA-Lys". It matches the Rfam family "tRNA". Rfam says of the family: Transfer RNA (tRNA) molecules are approximately 80 nucleotides in length. Their secondary structure includes four short double-helical elements and three loops (D, anti-codon, and T loops). The record is from RNAcentral. Lineage: Bacteria; Pseudomonadati; Pseudomonadota; Betaproteobacteria; Burkholderiales; Burkholderiaceae. RNAcentral also lists the same sequence under 2 other names.